UAGCUUCGGGCUAAAACUUGUAGCAAUCAAGUGGUAGACCUCCUUGUCCAUCUCAAUCCUGUGUGCAAAGCUUUCAGGUCUACGUGUAACGCCAGCAUAUUUCUGAGCACAGUCAGAGUGUGUGUGUGUGUUCCACUUCUAAAAUUUAGUUGAACGAGUAGUGGCAGCUUUUGUUGCAUUAUUGGAGGGUGGUUUUUUUUCUUUGGUGGAGGGGGAUUGGAUUAAAGCAGUAAGUAGAACUUUCUUGUAAAGUUGGGAAUGGUGAAGGUGCUUCAUGGGCUUUGUAGACAGUGUAUGUUUUGUUCUUCAUACAGCACAGAAACUCAUAAAAGGGAAAAGUGCCAGGGAGCUUGCAACUAGCUUGAGUGGAGAUGAUGAAGGGUACCCGUGUCAAAGAGAACUUCCUUUGGCACCAAAGAGAAUGGGGAAGUUGCUGCAGCACUGGCAAUCAACUGGCUGUUUUGUUUUUCUUUUUCAGUGAUAUUUUACUUGUUCAGACUUCUGAGAUUUUUCACAAGCCUUUUGGUCAUCUGUAGAUAGACUUUUUAGAACACCUAGGGAGCCUGACCCCCAGAGCACUGAUUUGUUAACCCUGUUGCAAGUAGGGAUCAGAACUGCGGAAGAUAACAGUAGCCUUGCAAUUCAGUGCCACAGGUGGGAUUACUCUGUGCUGCUGUUCUGGGGGUUGUAGAAGAUGCCUGGCUGUUGUAGCUUAAGGCAGUCUUUCUCAUGCAUGGUAUGUGUGCGGUGCUUGUAAAAGAUCAGUUGUGCCUCUCAGAAGUGGAAGAUGGAUCAGUUAAAACUUUGCCCUUUCAGAGCGGAGACUCAGUCCACCCUGAUGCGCAAAUCCAUUAUUUGUCAACUGUACUUUUAUGCCUCUGCAUUGAUAAAAUUCUGCCCUGAGAAUGAGAAUUCCUUUACAUUUAUUUGUGCAGCGAGCAGGGUGUACUGUUAGGAGGGACAGAUCCCUUCCAGUUCCAGCCUCUUCUCUUACAGAUAAAGGUGUCUCUUCUCAGCACAGAUAAAGGUGGAGGAUGACUCCCAUAUGAAAAAGUGGGGGAAGAGACUGGUUCAUUUCUUCUCAUCAGUGGGGAUAAAGUGUGCGAUAGAUGGAGAAAAGAGGAGACUUCUGCCCUCAUCUCUCCAGUCUUCUUGUAAUGUGAACUGUCGACAUUCUGUAGCAGGUUUGAAAAUGUUGUUUAUAGGUAAAUACUAAUUUGCUCACUUGAAGCAUGAGCUGGGGAGCGGGUUUUUUGCAUAUCUUUUGGAGAUGGAUUAAAUCUGUGGUUUGUGUUUAAUAUUUGUGUGAUAUUGUAGUUCUGGCAAUUUUACCAGUCACAAACGGUGUUAGUAGCGUGGCUUUUUCUUACAGUCACUGGAUCUUUCUUGGCUGCCUGCAGAGGAGUGUAAGAUGUAUGUGACAGUGUUUGAAGCAUCCGUGAAAGAUGCAUUUUUACUUUUUCUGUGUUUUGUCUGCUUACAGAAGACUGUUACGAGCCUUUUGUUGAGGAAGUUAAUCUUAAGACUGUACAGACAUGGAAAUAAUGUGUGGUGUUCUUCUGUCUGCUGGAAGUCUUUUAACUGGCACAAGCAGGUUUCCAUCGGCAUCAGAAAUAAGAAAAUCCAGUUUUCUGUCAUAAAAAUACCCUUUGUUUCUGUUUUGAAAUUAUCCUGACUGGUGAGCGGGCAGACUUCGGGCACCUACACGAGUUUAUUUUCACCAGCCUUCUUUAUAGGCAGUGUUGGUUAUAUGUGCUGUAAGAAAGCACCCUAAGUACUCAGAGGUAUGUGCUUAUCAGAAGGAGAACAUCCUCCAAGUAGAAAAAUAAAUACUGCUUUGCCACA
Numida meleagris (helmeted guineafowl) is the source of this 1845-nucleotide long non-coding RNA. RefSeq lists it as uncharacterized. The record is from RefSeq and is a predicted model, not a curated record. Lineage: Eukaryota; Metazoa; Chordata; Aves; Galliformes; Numididae. The transcript has 2 exons.